GUGGGGAAUCUUGCGCAAUGGGCGAAAGCCUGACGCAGCCAUGCCGCGUGAAUGAUGAAGGUCUUAGGAUUGUAAAAUUCUUUCACCGGGGACGAUAAUGACGGUACCCGGAGAAGAAGCCCCGGCUAACUUCGUGCCAGCAGCCGCGGUAAUACGAAGGGGGCUAGCGUUGCUCGGAAUUACUGGGCGUAAAGGGCGCGUAGGCGGAUCGUUAAGUCAGGGGUGAAAUCCCAGAGCUCAACUCUGGGACUGCCCUUGAUACUGGCGAUCUUGAGUGUGAGAGAGGUAUGUGGAACUCCGAGUGUAGAGGUGAAAUUCGUAGAUAUUCGGAAGAACACCAGUGGCGAAGGCGACAUACUGGCUCAUUACUGACGCUGAGGCGCGAAAGCGUGGGGAGCAAACAGGAUUAGAUACCCGAGUAGUCC
Molecule: ribosomal RNA, 425 nt
Filed under: uncultured bacterium
Lineage: Bacteria
Description: partial 16S ribosomal RNA
Rfam family: Bacterial small subunit ribosomal RNA
Source: RNAcentral